GAUGAACGCUAGCGGCAGGCCUAAUACAUGCAAGUCGAGGGGUAACAUGACGCUUCGGUGUUGAUGACGACCGGCGAACGGGUGCGUAACGCGUAUGCAAUCUACCCACAGCAGAGGGAUAGCCCGUGGAAACAUGGAUUAAUACCUCAUAAUACAGGGGGCCCACAUGGGCAUAUUGUUAAAGCUUCGGUGGCUGUGGAUGAGCAUGCGUCCCAUUAGUUAGUUGGUAAGGUAACGGCUUACCAAGACGAUGAUGGGUAGGGUUCUGAGAGGAUGAUCCCCCACACUGGUACUGAGAUACGGACCAGACUCCUACGGGAGGCAGCAGUAGGGAAUAUGGUCAAUGGACGGAGUCUGAACCAGCCAUGCCGCGUGCAGG
Molecule: ribosomal RNA, 379 nt
Filed under: uncultured bacterium
Lineage: Bacteria
Description: bacterial SSU rRNA
Rfam family: Bacterial small subunit ribosomal RNA
Source: RNAcentral